CAGCCGCCGCGGUAAAACGGAGGGUGCAAGCGUUAAUCGGAAUUACUGGGCGUAAAGCGUGCGUAGGCGGUUCGUUAAGUCUGUUGUGAAAGCCCCGGGCUCAACCUGGGAAUGGCAAUGGAUACUGGCGAGCUAGAGUGUGUCAGAGGAUGGUGGAAUUCCCGGUGUAGCGGUGAAAUGCGUAGAGAUCGGGAGGAACAUCAGUGGCGAAGGCGGCCAUCUGGGACAACACUGACGCUGAGGCACGAAAGCGUGGGGAGCAAACAGGAUUAGAUACCCGAGUAGUCCCUGUCUCUUAUAC
This 301-nucleotide ribosomal RNA is filed under the name uncultured bacterium. RNAcentral's name for it is "partial 16S ribosomal RNA". It matches the Rfam family "Bacterial small subunit ribosomal RNA", at positions 509 to 807 of the family's 1533-position model. The record is from RNAcentral.